RNAcentral lists this ribosomal RNA (253 nucleotides) under uncultured bacterium. RNAcentral describes it as "partial 16S ribosomal RNA". It matches the Rfam family "Bacterial small subunit ribosomal RNA", at positions 524 to 776 of the family's 1533-position model. The record is from RNAcentral.
UACGUAGGGUGCGAGCGUUAAUCGGAAUUACUGGGCGUAAAGUGUGCGCAGGUGGCUGAGCAAGUCGAGUGUGAAAUCCCCGGGCUUAACUUGGGAAUUGCGCUCGAAACUACUUGGCUCGAGUGUGGCAGAGGAAGGUGGAAUUCCAGGUGUAGCGGUGAAAUGCGUAGAUAUCUGGAGGAACACCGGUGGCGAAGGCGGCAUCCUGGACCAAUAUUGACGCUGAGGAGCGAAAGCCAGGGGAGCAAACGGG